UGAAUACGAGAUGCUACGGCAUUGAAGCAGUCUAUGUCAUACUUCCAAGAAAAGCUCGCACUGUCAAAAACAAAUUAAUGCCUGUACCAUAACCGACACAGGUGGGUAGGUAGAGUAUACUAAGGGGCGCGAGAUAACUCUCUCUAAGGAACUCGGCAAAAUAACUCCGUAACUUCGGGAGAAGGAGUGCCUUUUUAUUAAGGCUGCAAUAACCAGAUCCAAGCAACUGUUUAUCAAAAACACAGGUCUCCGCUAAGUCGUAAGACGAUGUAUGGGGGCUGACGCCUGCCCAGUGCCAGAAGGUUAAAGAAGUUGGUUAGCCUUGCGAAGCUGAUGACUGAAGCCCUGGUGAACGGCGGCCGUAACGAUAACGGUCCUAAGGUAGCGAAAUACCUUGUCGGGUAAAUUCCGACCCGCACGAAAGGCGUAAUGAUUUGGAUACUGUCUCGGAGAGGGACUCGGUGAAAUAGACUUGUCUGUGAAGAUGCGGACUACCUGCACCAGGACAGAAAGACCCUAUGAAGCUUUACUGUAACUUGAGAUUGAAAUUGGACUUUACUUGCGCAGUAUAGGUGGGAGGCAUUGAACAUAUUCUUGCGGGAAUAUCGGAGCCAUCAGUGAGAUACCACUCCUGUAAUGUUAGAUUUCUAACUUUGUAUCAUUAUCUGGUCAAAGAACAGUCUCAGGCGGGCAGUUUGACUGGGGCGGUCGCCUCCCAAAUGGUAACGGAGGCGCACAAAGGUUUCCUCUGAACGGGUAGAAAUCGUAUCUAGAGUGUAAAGGCAUAAGGAAGCUUGACUGUGAGACCUACAAGUCGAGCAGGGACGAAAGUCGGUCUUAGUGAUCUGACGGUGCUGAGUGGAAAGGCCGUCACUCAACGGAUAAAAGUUACUCUAAGGAUAACAGGCUGAUCUCCCCCAAGAGUUCACAUCGACGGGGAGGUUUGGCACCUCGAUGUCGGCUCAUCGCAUCCUGGGGCGGUAGUACAUCCCAAGGGUUGGGCUGUUCGCCCAUGAAAGCGGUACGCGAGCUGGGUUCAGAACGUCGUGAGACAGUUCGGUCCAUAUCCGGUGUAGGCGUUAGAAUAUUGAGAGGAGCCUUCUUUAGUACGAGAGGACCGAGAAGGACAUACCUCUGGUGUACCAGUUAUCGUGCCAACGGUAAACGCUGGGUAGCUAUGUAUGGAGUGGAUAACCGCUGAAAGCAUCUAAGUGGGAAGCCCACCUCAAGAUAAGUAUUCUCAU
Molecule: ribosomal RNA, 1244 nt
Filed under: metagenome
Description: bacterial LSU rRNA
Rfam family: Bacterial large subunit ribosomal RNA
Source: RNAcentral